Molecule: long non-coding RNA, 2343 nt
Organism: Mus musculus (house mouse)
Lineage: Eukaryota; Metazoa; Chordata; Mammalia; Rodentia; Muridae
Product: predicted gene 5112
Exons: 1
Source: RefSeq, marked validated
AAGUUACAACUUUGUACAGUCUGUGCUGCCAGCGUCCGGGUCUAUCUCGGAUCCAGUCUGGUGCCCCGGCGCCCACCCGGGAUGGCCCCGCGGGCCCCGUCUCAGCCGCCUUUGCAGUGGCUCGCGGGUCUAUCUCGGAGCCCGCGCUGCGCUCCCAGCCCCGGACGCUGGGCCGGCAGCCGGGGGCGCGGAUCUUUCCAUCCGCCUACCGCCGCUCUCCUCCCUCCUCUCCUCCGCGUUCCGGGCCGGGCUGACACCGGGGUGGGCGGAGCCGAGAGCUUGCUCAGAGCGGGGAGAGGCUGGCGCCUCUUAAGGUGGAACAGACCCAUCGCUGGGCCUCCCUGGGUGUGCGACUCCCGCCCCAGCCUCGCUCUAAACGCUCGCUCUCGUCUCCCUAGCGAGCCUCGGUUCUCUACAUAGUUUAGAAAUUAAUCAGGAUGUAAAAUGAACGCAUAAACUGAAAAAGAAAAAAAAGUCAAGAAGAUGCAAACUACUCAGAGAACUUUUAUUAUACUUGUGUUCUUUAUUCCAGGGACUACAAUCUUUAAGUGGUAGGUUUUUUUGUUUGUUUGUUUUUUUCCUUCCUCUUUCGGAUGUUCAAAUAAGAACUCACAUUUUGCCUGAUGAACAUGAUACACAUGAGUCAUUUGUAUGCCGGUUUAGUGACACCGCCCCCCCACCCCUAACAUGGACGACAAAUAUACUAAGGGAAGCAGAAACCUGGAGCCUGGUGGCUAUAGGCUGCCUCUUAUAGUUGGCCAAUGAUUCGUAGAGGGAGCUAAAGAGCAGAGGUGCUGCUAUCUCAACGCCUUUGUAAAAUGGAUGAAAAUCUGCUGCUUUCUGGAUUUGGUUUGACGCAGAAUUGUUCCUGUAUAAAGGAAAAGCAGGGACAAAAACGGGGCAGAGACUGAAGAAAGGCUAUCCCAUGACCGGCCCAACUUGGGAUCCAUCCCACGCACAGGCACCAAACCCGGAUACAAUUACUGAUGCCAUGUUGUGCUUGCAGCCUAGCAUAGCUGUCUUCUGAAAGGUUCUACCAACAGCUGACUGAAUCAGAUGCAGAUACUUACAGCCAACCAUUGGACUGAGUUCGAGACCCCUAUGGAAAGGAUUGAAGGAGCUGAAGAGUAUGGCAACCCCAUAGGAAGACCAACAGUAUUAACUAACGGGGACUCCUGGGAGGUCCUAGAGACUAAGCCACCAACCAAAGAGCAUACACGGGCUGAUCCGUGGCCCUGCACAUAUGUAACACAGGACUGACUGCCUUGUCUGGGCUCAGUGGGAGAGGAUGCACCUACUCCUUAGAGACUUGAUACCCCAGGAAGGGGAAUGCUGGGAUGUGUGUGUACCUUCCCAGAGGCGAAGGGGAGGGAGGAUGGGGUGAAGAACUCUGGAAAGAGGGACCAGGAAGGGGGGCAACAUUUGGAAUGUAAAUGAAAUAAUAACAACAAUUAAAAAGGAUGUAGUGUAAAUUAAAGAUACUAGGUAACGAUACAUACACAAAACAUGAUAGCAAACAUUUUACUAUUUCUUUUUAAUUUUUUUAAAAGCUCUGUUGUAAAAUUUCAAACACAAAAGUAGAGAGAAUGACAAUGACAUCUUAUAUUUUUAUCUUAUUAAUAUCUAUCGUGUAUGUGUGUAUAUAUAUAUAUCCGCAUUACAUGCAUGUAGGAGCCAGGAGAGGUCAGAAGAGGGAGUUAGUCUCCUGCAACUGGGAGUUACAGCCAGUUGUGAACAGUGGACAGCAGGGCUCGAAUGUAAAUGGGGACCUCUGUUAGAGCAGCAAGUGCUCUUAAUCUCUGAGCCAUCUCUCCAGCUCUAACUUUAUUUUCACUCUUGUACAUGCAUGUGAGCAUGACACGGAAUAGUACACAUGUGACUACAUGUGCCCUCAGCACCCAGGGGAGAGAAUCCAGAUCUCCUGGAGCUUGAGUCACAGGUGGUGGUGGUAGAGGCUGGACUUGCGUGUCCAAUUGGGUCCUCUGCAAGAGCUGAAAUCUUAGCUAUCUCUUUAGCCUGAGAACAACAUGUAUGCUUAAAUGUUGCAAUAAGCAAUAUUUGGCCAAUAUUUUGCCACCUCUACUUUCCUCCUGGUCACUUGAUUAUUUUGAGACAAAUUUCAGACAUUUCAUGCUUAAGUCACUCUAAUACACAUUUUUAAAUAUCCCUUAAAAAUAAUGGAAUUUCAUUAAUCCACCUUUGUUUGUUUUUCAAGGCAGGGUUUCUCUGUGUAGCCUUGGUUGUCCUGAAACUCACUCUGUAGACCAGACUGGCCUCGAACUUAUAACAUCUGUGUGUACUUCUGCCUCCUGAGUGCUGGGAUUAAAGACUUAGACACCACCA